CUUAAAAGCGUCCUAAUAUAUUCCAACGUUACUUUGCUUUCGGUCAAAGCGUUGGCAAAUAAAGAAUCGCCACGCAUAUAUCGACGCUUAUACCAAGUGUCGGUAAAAUAUAUUCGGAUGCUUUAAAGUAUUAGGAUUUUUGAAAUCCUGACCCUUUAAAGCGUUGAAAAAUUAAAAAUAAUAGUAAAAUUUAUCAUCAUUUAAUAAAUUAUUUGAUAUCAUAUGAUGAUACUUUUUGAAGCAUCGGUAUUUUCUAUAUUGUAAAA
RNAcentral lists this long non-coding RNA (266 nucleotides) under Ananas comosus (pineapple). RNAcentral's name for it is "long non-coding RNA (ACOM_LNC033677)". Lineage: Eukaryota; Viridiplantae; Streptophyta; Magnoliopsida; Poales; Bromeliaceae. The record is from RNAcentral.